This is a long non-coding RNA of Cygnus olor (mute swan), 2225 nucleotides long. RefSeq lists it as uncharacterized. NCBI's taxonomy places the organism in Eukaryota, Metazoa, Chordata, Aves, Anseriformes, Anatidae. The transcript is spliced from 6 exons. The record is from RefSeq and is a predicted model, not a curated record.
GCCUCGGUCUGUGCCCCAGUCACUGCCUUCACAAGCCGAAUGGCUCAAAUCUUAAUUUAAAAUAUACAAAAGAUGAAAGCCACUGAAGGCUUGUGAAAAUGUGUUUGUGGGCAGAGUGUGGUCCAUUAAGUGAUAUAAAAUGCCUCUGGGAGAACAUGAAAGGUCUAAGCCACGUCCCUUUGUGGGUUUAAUUUGUGUGCUUCUGUGUCAUGUAAAUGUUUCUGGAAAUGUCACCCUGUAUCUCUUGCCCAGUAGUUUUCAAGUCAUGUUGAAGACUUGAAUCAUAUUCCCCAAAACCUUCCUUUCCUAUCUUUAUUUCAACAUUUGAAGCGUGUAGAGAAGCCAGUCCCACACAGAGGCCCAUGCCAUUCAUGCCAUGGUGGAUACAUACAGUAGAGAUGGGUUAUAUUGGUUUGUAUAGAUUAAGAAGCAAGCAGUAACCCAGGGACAUUAGGACUCCAGCGUUGUGCUCAGGUCAUACUGUGCUAGCUGUUUACAAGCUGAUUUUUUUUGCAGCCAGACUUGCGCAUGGUCCAGUCCAUUCUCAGCAUUUGGUGUGUUACCACAGUACGUAUCACUAGUGAUUAUUACAGUGUGGAAACGUCAUUAACCAUUACAUUUCUUCUACUAUCCUUGGACUGAAUACGGCACUUUUGCCAAAUUAUGAGGACUCGGCCAGGAGAUUGUGCCAUCCUGGGUGGAUGGAGGAUGGGGGAAGAGCACGAUGCUGUCCAUAACCAUUACUUACUGGCAGGAGGAGGAGCUGGCCCUGCAUUACACUUAAAAUGGAGUUUGAUUCCGGGUAAUGGGUCAGUGGUGAUGAUAUUGCUCAGAUAAAUGCAGGAAAGGAAGGACUGCCCAUCUGAGCUGACCAUAUGGGAGACGUGAGGCCUGGCAGUGCCAAUGUUCAGCUAUUGCACCUGGAGCCACUGAUGAUGGCUUGAUUAAUUCUCAGUGAUUUUUUUUCUCCACCUUCCUCCCCACGACUUUUCCGACUGGCAUAAAGUUGUGCUGUGGCAGGUGCAGUUGCUGGGUAAAGAGAACCUAGCCACUUUCAGGCUGCAACUUUGAGCCUGCUCUGAGCCAAGCAUCAGGAGUGACUUUUUGUCUUCAAAGCUGGAGAGACAUUUCCCACCAGUGCAGAUGAAGGUGCCUCUUCCCUCCAAGGCCAUAGAAGAGCAGAGGGCAGACAGUGAGCUAAGUUCUGUUCUCACUCCUGAAGUGUUGGCCACUGCCACGGUGCGCUGCAGCAUAAGGCAACAAAGAGCAGCCCUGCAGAAUCCGCGUGUGAACAAAGGCGAGAGCGCCGGGUUUGUCCUCGGCAGGUUCCUGCCCACCCCGUCCAUUCAUCAUCUGAAGAGGAAAUCUGAGGAGCACAAAGACUAUCCCUCUAAGCUCUAACAGAGGUUAGGAAUUUUGAAGUCGGCUGUAUUUUUCCCCAGAGUAUUUCUCUGUCUGGGUCUUUUUCUUGCUCUCUUCCCUCCACCUCUCCUUUCUCUUUUCAUUUUUCCCCUUUCAUUCCCUCUCUCUCUUCUACCGCCAGUCUGGGUUUCUUUGUCUUUCCCUAAUAUAUUGCUUCUCCUCCACCCCUGCCCAGGAAACGAGACGAUUUAGUCACCUUGCUUCUUCAGACUCUAGAAGGAGCCCAGGCUCCAAUGAGGGGUUGGUACUUUAAGUUUUACAUGCCAUGCGGGAGGGUGAACAAUACUUUUUUGCCCAUAGAUUUGGAUGAAAAGAAAUCUAAGUUGUUGCUGCGGAAAAGGAGAAACUCAACAAUCAAACUGAAGGCAGGACGUGGAAUAUUACACAAAAUGACCAUCAAAACCCUUAGAUGUGGCUUUCCUUCCACACUCAGAAGAGUUCACAAUAGUACAGCUGGUUCUAAUCAUACAAAUUCCACACCAGAAGUCUUCCUUUGUUUUCACUGGUGUAAAUUCAGAGCAAGUUCAGCAAGUUGCUCUGAAUUUACCCAGCUAUGGAGGACAGCUGAUUUCAUUUGAGCUGUAGAAGAGACAAUCUUAUUUUUGCUUUCCCUAGGAUUACAGUAAGCUUGUCAAUCAAUGCCCAGAGGCAGUCUACACAACACAGUUGUGCCAGCUUGAAAAUCAGAAGUAACAGCAGAGGAGAAAAGUGAGCACCAAAGAUCAGGAAUGAGUCACAGGAAAAACAACUUGGCUCCAUCAGAGAUUUCUUUGGCUUCCUGAGGUAUUCACCUGUCUGUCCAG